This 253-nucleotide ribosomal RNA is filed under the name uncultured bacterium. Its description in RNAcentral is "partial 16S ribosomal RNA". It matches the Rfam family "Bacterial small subunit ribosomal RNA", at positions 524 to 776 of the family's 1533-position model. The record is from RNAcentral.
UACGAAGGGGGCUAGCGUUGUUCUGAAUUACUGGGCGUAAAGCGCACGUAGGCGGACUUGUCAGUCAGAGGUGAAAUCCCGAAGCUUAACUUCGGAACUGCCUUUGAUACUGCAAGUCUUGAGGAUGAGAGAGGUAAGUGGAACUGCGAGUGUAGAGGUGAAAUUCGUAGAUAUUCGCAAGAACACCAGUGGCGAAGGCGGCUUACUGGCUCAUUUCUGACGCUGAGGUGCGAAAGCGUGGGGAGCAAACAGG